GCUCAAUUUUAUAUACAUAUACUAAAAUUGGAACAAUACAGAGAAGAUUAACAUGGCCCCUGCACAAGGAUGACAUGCAAAUUCGUAAAUUGUUCCAUGUUAUA
Molecule: small nuclear RNA, 104 nt
Organism: Jaculus jaculus (lesser Egyptian jerboa)
Lineage: Eukaryota; Metazoa; Chordata; Mammalia; Rodentia; Dipodidae
Source: Ensembl